GAUCCUGGCUCAGGACGAACGCUGGCGGCGUGCCUAAUACAUGCAAGUAGAACGCUGAAGGAGGAGCUUGCUUCUCUGGAUGAGUUGCGAACGGGUGAGUAACGCGUAGGUAACCUGCCUGGUAGCGGGGGAGUAACUAUUGGAAACGAUAGCUAAUACCGCAUAAUAGUAGAUGUUGCAUGACAUUUGUCUUAAAAGGUAGCAAUUGCAUCACUACCAGAUGGACCUGCGUUG
This 234-nucleotide ribosomal RNA is filed under the name uncultured bacterium. RNAcentral's name for it is "partial 16S ribosomal RNA". It matches the Rfam family "Bacterial small subunit ribosomal RNA", at positions 15 to 238 of the family's 1533-position model. The record is from RNAcentral.